This 253-nucleotide ribosomal RNA is filed under the name uncultured bacterium. RNAcentral describes it as "partial 16S ribosomal RNA". It matches the Rfam family "Bacterial small subunit ribosomal RNA", at positions 524 to 776 of the family's 1533-position model. The record is from RNAcentral.
GACAGAGGGGGCAAGCGUUGCUCGGAAUCACUGGGCGUAAAGGGCGCGUAGGCGGGAGGGCAAGUCGGUCGUGAAAUCCUUCGGCUCAACCGAAGAACGUCGGCCGAAACUGCCUUUCUUGAGGGAUGCAGAGGAGACUGGAAUUCCCGGUGUAGCGGUGAAAUGUGUAGAGAUCGGGAGGAACACCGGUGGCGAAGGCGGGUCUCUGGGCAUCCCCUGACGCUGAGGCGCGAAAGCGUGGGGAGCAAACGGG